Molecule: long non-coding RNA, 366 nt
Organism: Ostrinia furnacalis (Asian corn borer)
Lineage: Eukaryota; Metazoa; Arthropoda; Insecta; Lepidoptera; Crambidae
Exons: 3
Source: RefSeq, a predicted model, not a curated record
GUGACCGUUUGUAAUGAAUUGCCUUGGUCUUGGAGUGAUGGUGAUUGUUACGUUUGUUCGUGCCCUACAAUACCCAGCAAUACGAAGAGAUCCAGCAUCACGCGAAUGACUUCAAGAUAUUCAAAUUUUAGAACCUCAGUUAAAUUAAAAUUAGUAUUAUGUGAUGUGCUCUAGUUCAGUGACAUAGUUUAGUCCGCCAUUUUGUUACCAUGUCGGCCAUUUUGAGUGUCGUGCGGGUGGGGGUCAGUGACCUGGUGGUGCGAGGGCUUCUGCUGCUGGUGUUGGCUGUGUAUUCUUCUUAUGUUCCCAAUUUCCUGACACGAUUCCCGGAACUCCCCAAAAUUCCUGUCCCGCUCCAGAAUUUGU